UGGGGAAUUUUGGACAAUGGGCGAAAGCCUGAUCCAGCCAUGCCGCGUGAGUGAAGAAGGCCUUCGGGUUGUAAAGCUCUUUUAGUCGGAAAGAAAGAGUUGCAAUGAAUAAUUGUGAUUUAUGACGGUACCGACAGAAAAAGCACCGGCUAACUACGUGCCAGCAGCCGCGGUAAUACGUAGGGUGCGAGCGUUAAUCAGAAUUACUGGGCGUAAAGGGUGCGCAGGCGGUCUUGCAAGUCAGAUGUGAAAGCCCCGGGCUUAACCUGGGAAUUACGUUUGAAACUACAAGACUAGAGUGCAGCAGAGGGGAGUGGAAUUCCAUGUGUAGCAGUGAAAUGCGUAGAGAUGUGGAAGAACACCGAUGGCGAAGGCAGCUCCCUGGGUUGACACUGACGCUCAUGCACGAAAGCGUGGGGAGCAAACA
Molecule: ribosomal RNA, 427 nt
Filed under: uncultured bacterium
Lineage: Bacteria
Description: bacterial SSU rRNA
Rfam family: Bacterial small subunit ribosomal RNA
Source: RNAcentral